Molecule: unclassified non-coding RNA, 672 nt
Filed under: Zea mays
Lineage: Eukaryota; Viridiplantae; Streptophyta; Magnoliopsida; Poales; Poaceae
Description: misc RNA Zm00001eb376430
Source: RNAcentral
CUGAAAUCACAGAGACGUUUGAAUUUGAUUUGUGUUGCUGAGUGGUGCUUGCUGGACACUACUGGAUUUUUAGGACACUAUACAAUUUUCUGCCCCGUUGAAAAAGAUCCUAUAAGAACAAUGGCAUUAGGUAGACGUACUCAAAAUAGGACGGUGGCAGGCCUGUCUCCCUUUCCUCCUUUCGUGCUAUUUGACGAUAUUCAAGAUGUCAAUAACUUACCACAAGUAAAAAGUGUCUUUGCGAGGGUAGUUGUUAAGUUCCCUAGGCGUCGUAAUAGUCAACACUACAUCCUACAGGACAUCACUGGCUCCAAAAUCGAAGCAAUAUCUAACGACAUUAAUGUCCAACGGUUCGAUGCCUUACUCACACAAGGAUGCACAUAUACAUUGUAUAGAGUGGCAUUCUGUCUAAACCGGGAGGAACUUCAAUUUCGCAAUAUUGGUCAUGGGCUAGAGUUGGGAUUGAUAACACAUACUAUUGUGGAUCCAUUCACGAAGCCAAUCCAAUUUCCUCCAUUUCCAAAGUAUCUUAUGCCAUUUCAUGAGGUUUACCAACAACCGCAUAAGACAUUCAUAGAUGUUAUUGGCAUAGUUCUUCAUUUGGAACCAUUAAAGCAUAUCGGUGGAAGACCGUAUAGAGAAGUUGUACUAAUGGAUUCUAGGUGGCACUAA